ACUGCAACCUUGCCCUCGCCUAUGCCGACGCUCGAGGGGCGAGGACAAGUACAAAGAGCCGGAGGCCCAAAGCGCGGAUGGUGGCGGUGAUCCCGUCGGCAACGGGGACUUCUCGAGCCGCCUCUACCUCGGCACCGACGACAGGGGCCGUCAGCCCUCCGGCAGAUCCCCACUCAGAUCCUCCCGGACGAGUGGGGCACCGACCUCCGCGUGGAGGCAUCGUACCGGUGCAAAGGCAGGACCGCCCCAGAACACGAACGCCGCCCUGGCAGCGCGCGAUAUCUUGGGCGGUCCUCCCGUGUGCACGACGCGGCAACCGCCUUCCGGCAGGAGGGGGCACCGGGAGCCAAGCUGACGAGCCCGACGCGCUGAGGCUGACGACGCCCGCCGUCGACCAGCCCCGCGUUGUCGAAGUCCGACCCGCCCGCAGGGCCAGUGAGCGCCCUCUCCCUCGAACGCCGAAGGAGAGGCCGACCCACGAACCCGCGCGGGAGGUAGAGCUCCGGCUCAGCCCGGCCUCCACCCCAGCGAGGAUGAUGAACAUCCUUGAAGCUGAGGGUGGGACCAAGAUCGCAGCCCGGCUUGCUUCUCCCCACCCAGGGGCUGGUGGUCACCGUCUUGGGUGACCACCGAUGGAGGGGUGCAGCCGGGCUGCAUGAUGAAAAUCCUUGAAGCCGAAAGAUGGCUGAAAGGUACCAACUCCCACGGAGUUGCGUUCCCCCAACGACAAGGCGGAAAGAUUGCGGGUAUCCCCCAUCCGGGGGCUUGGAAGGUGGAAAGGCACGAUGCAUAAGGGAGCGCGAAGACAUGGUCGCCUUUCAAGGGGGUCACCCUCCUUUUAAAGGCGACUCUCCCUACUUGCGUCCCCAACCGUCGGGGGCUGAGUCUUCUCCGACACGCUCCAAGGUCCUCCCCCUACGGCGCGAAGGCUGGGUCCCACACGUCAUGCAAGCUGGCCCAGAGCAGAAGAAGCCAAACCGCCGCGCGCGAUGCGUGCAACCGCCCAACGGAUUACAAGCGGCUCUCCACUUUUGCCCAGACCAGCGGGCGAAAGGGCGGGCAGCCAUGCAGGCGGCAUGCAACCGCGCCAAGUGGGCGCACUUCUCUGACUUCCAGCACGCCCUGCAUGGAGGCCCAGGCCCACGCGUCAUGCAACCGGCACGACGGAUGCUUCGUGCAAGCAACUGCACCGCCACUUGCGCCACUACCGCGCCUCCUCGACUGCGGAACCGAUACCGCGACUCGAGGCGACCCAGCGCACGACCCAGCAGCGCCAGCCUGGCGCGACGGCCAAUGCGGCCAAAAACGGGCCGGCAGUAAUGGCGGUGGCAGGCGGGCAGGAGCAGCGGUCACGUCGUCAGCCAAGCUUACGUCCCAUCCGGGGGCAGCGAGAGAACCCUCUCUCACGGCGUGAAGACGACGCGCCCGUGUUCCGUUCCUCGAACGGCCCGCGCACGCGCAACGGCCGCCCCGCGAACCACUCGCCCCGUCGCAUUAACUCCGCGGCGGGACAGGCGGUGCCUCUGGCAGGAGAAGCGAGCGACGCUUCGCCUUCGCCAUAAUGACCGCGUCAAAAAAGGUACGCCGCGUCGUUCGAUUUCAUAUCCUUUUCCUUUUUUUCCUCUUUCUCCUCUUUCUCUCUCUUACAACAGGGACCGGGAAAGGGGGAUACCCCGAAAAGGAUCCUUCCCCGUGAAGGAACCAGGCUCCGAGCCUCCCUACUGAUCAGAGGUUCGAAGGCUGGCCCCUCGGAAGGGUUCAACAGCCGCCUCAGAGCACGUGGGCUCCACACCCACUACUGGUCAGAGGUUCGAAGGCUGGCCCCUCGGAAGGGUUCAACGGCCGCCUCAGGCUACUCGGGCUCCGCGCCCACUACUGAUCAGGGGUUUGAAGGCUGGCCCCCGAAGGGUUCACAGCCGCCUCAGACACAGAGCGAGGGAUGACCAUGGGUACGUUCGAUACAUAACCAAGGCUCGGGCUGCGCUCCCGAGGUACCCUAGGACAUUUCCGAGACCAGCGGGAACGAUCUUGUAACGGAAUCCCAUCAGAGGGAGGCAUCGAGCCCUCGGACCCCGUCGACAGGGGACCGGGUCCGGCAGAUCACCCGCAGGUAUUUUUGGGCGUGCCUCUGGGCCUCUAGCCGACCCCUAGCGAAUGGGGCACGGACGUCCGCUCGGAUUACCCGCUUGCAGCUCACCGGAGACACCAUGUUCGGCGCCCACCGAGGGCAACAUGGCGCUUUCCCCCCCUCCUCCUUGCGGAAAGGCGACGCAGGGGCGUAUGUAAAAAAGUCAAGUCUGCCCCUGAUCGCCCUCUCGCCCUGUGCAGAGGCUUGGGGGCUGCUCUCGCGAACCCGGCUCCGGCCAAACCGUUGACAGCGUCAACAUACCAGCCCGAGAACUUGGGACCCGACCGUACACCCGGGCUACGGCCAGCUCGCAUGAGGGAACGACCAGACCAGCCGAAGCAUUACGCGAGGCAUUAAGACCUCGGAGGAGUCAAACCACUCCUCCAAGGCCUCGGGGGCUACACCCGGCGGGUGCGCUCGCGCGCACCCACCGGAACAAAACGCAACCGAGAAAGGCUGGUCCCCUUGCAAAGAAGUGCGACGAAAGCCUCCAAGCGAGUGCUAACACUCCCUUCGAGGCUCGGGGGCUACUGUCGGGGACCAUAAUUAGGGGUACCCUCAAGGCUCCUAAUUCUCAGCUGGUAACCCCCAUCAGCAUAAAGCUGCAAAGGCCUGAUGGGUGCGAUUAAGUCAGGGAUCGGUCCAUUCGAGGGACUCGAUCACGCCUCGCCCGAGCCUAGCCUUGGACAAGGGCAGCCGACCCCGGAGGAUCUCCGCCUCGCCCGAGGCCCCCCUCCAGCGGCGAACAUAUUUUCGGCUCGCCCGAGGCCAUGUCUUCGCCAAGAAGCAACCCUGACCAAAUCACCACGCCGACCGACCAAAUCGCAGGAGCAUUUAAUGCAAAGGUGGCCUGACACCUUUAUCCUGACGCGCGCCCUUCAGUCGACAGAGCCGAAGUGACCGCCGUCACUUCGCCGCUCCACUGACCGGCCCGACAGAAAGACAGCGUCGCCUGCGCCGCUCCGACUGCGGUGCCACUUGACGGAGUGAGGCUGACAGGCAGUCAGGCCCGGCCGCAGGUGCCAUAGGAAGCUCCGCUCCGCCUGACCCAGGGCUCGGACUCGGGCUAAGCCCCGGAAAACGGUGAACUCCGCUCCGCCUGACCCAGGGCUCGGACUCGGGCUAAGCCCCGGAAGACGGCGAACUCCGCUCCGCCCGACCCAGGGCUCGGACUUGGGCUAAGCCCCGGAAGACGGCGAACUCCGCUCCGCCCGACCCAGGGCUCGGACUUGGGCUCAGCCCCGAAAGACGGCGAACUCCGCUUCGCCCGACCCCAGGGCUCGGACUCAGCCCUGGCUUCAGCCGACGGUCUCCGCCUCGCCCGACCCAGGGGCUCGGACUCGACCACGGCCACGGAAGACAGACUCGACCUCGACCUCGACCUCGAAGGAGCCUCCACAUCACCCAACCUAGGGCGCGGGCCAGCCACGUCAACAGGAGGCGCCAUCAUUACCCUACCCCGAGCUGACUCAGGCUACGGGGAACAAGACCGGCGUCCCAUCUGGCUCGCUCCGCCAGUUAGGCAAUGAUGGCGCCCCACACGCUCCCUGACGACGGCGGCUCUCGGCCCCCUUACGGAAGCAAGAGGACGUCAGCAAGGACUCAACCGCCCCGAUAGCUGUCCUUCCGCCAGGCUCCAACGCUCCUCCGACGGCCACGACAUCACACCAACUGGGUGCCAAAACCUCUCUGGCUGCCACGACGGCGUGUACUUAGGGCACUAGCUCUCCUCCGCUAGACACGUAGCACUCUGCUACACCUCCCAUUGUACACCUGGAUCCUCUCCUUACGUCUAUAAAAGGAAGGACCAGGGCCCUCUUACAGAGGGUUGGCCGCGCGGGGACGAGGACGAGACAGGCGCUCGCGUAAGGCCGCUCGCUCCCUCACCCGUGUGGACGCUUGUAACCCCCUACUGCAAGCGCACCCGACCUGGGCGCGGGACGAACACGAAGGCCGCGGGAUUUCCACCUCUCUCACGCCCGUCUCCGGCCACCUUUCUCCCCCCUUCGCGCUCGGCCUCGCGCCGACCCAUCUGGGCUGGGGCACGCAGCGACAUUUCACUCGUCGGCCCAGGGACCCCCCGGUCUCGAAACGACGACAUUACUGCUGGUAAUCGAGUGUAAAUCAUUAUCAUUACUAUUUAUGUUACAUUUCAUGAACCAAACGGCACCUAAGGGACUUGGGUCCUGUUUGUUUUAGAUUAUAAUUUGCCAGAUUAUAUAAUUCAGUGUAAAUAAUCUUGCUAGUAAACAAACAAACAGACUAUAUGUCUAGAUUAUAUAAUCUAUCCCCAAGAUUGUGAUAAUCUCGUAAUUUUCUCAAGACUAGCUUAUUUUAGAUUAUUUUUUACAAAAUACUCACUACCCAUAAUUAUGUUGUUAAAAUUACAUGGACUGACAUUCUUCUUUUCUCCCAAAUCACACGCAACAAGUAUAUGUUGCCUUUGUGCCUUAGAGAUCAAUAAUCUGCAUUAUAAUCUGAGAAACCAAACAGCUAUAUAUAAAUUAUAAUCUCGACAAAUUAUAAUCUAGAUUAUAUAAUUUAAAUUAUAAUCUAGAUUAUAUAAUCUACAAGCUAAACAAACACAUACUUAGUCUCAUCCUCCACUAGUUCCGAGUCAGACACAUCAACAUCCCCUAAAUCAUCUUAGGAACUAGACGAAGCCAUAAAAAAGAAACUCUUUGACGUCACACAAUUAGCCCAAAAAAGAAAUCAAUCAAACCAUGAUAUGGCAAACAAAAAAGAAUUAAAGUAAGAAAAUUACCUUGGUAGGGCUCACAAGCAGCAGCGAGGAAACUUCUUCGCAAAGCUUCUAGACAACUUUGCAAGCAAAUUGCUCAGUUAAAUAGACUUGCACAAAAGAUCUGUUUUGUGAAAACAAACACCAAGAUUUCUCAUUCUUAGAAUGUGAUAGCAAACCAUGACCAAUAAGCAGUAUAUAUAUAGGCGGCUUCCACCAAAAGUGACUGUUCGUCUUCCUUUUAUACCUGACUUCUAACUUGGCCAUUAAAAAUUUGAAAUACAAUCGUCACUCUCUAACAACUAAGGGUGUGUUUGGUUGCGGGACAGUCAGGACAGGGACGUCCUCUAGCGUCUCUCCAAUUUGAAGGGACAACUGAGGGCAACACUAGGAUAGUUAUGUCCUAACCCCUGAACCAAACAAUCUUAUUUGAGGAAUCGUCUCAUUCCGUCUCGUCCUAUCAUUGCAUCCAAACGCACCCUAAAUCUAAUCUCGAGGAUGGCGUUUUACCUUAGCUCACAUAAUUUCGUCAGAUUCAGACCUUCGGAGAAGUCUUUGACUGCGAGGGGCUCCUGUUGGAGAUUUGACCUCAGACAAUCAGUCCUUGAUGUUUUGGAGGACGUCAUAUCACGAAGACCAAGAAUAAGGCGCAAAGUUGUUUCAUCCUAUUGGCUAAAGGUCAACCGAGGUCUUAAGACAAGUGAAGCUUCCCUAACGAAUACUCUUUUCGUCAGAGGUCGAGCAAAGCUAUAAGACGAACUUUAGUGGGAAGCGAAGUCAAAGCGAACGAAGAGAUCGGUUCACUUAUGAGACAUGAAACUUCACCGACGAAGGUUUCACAUGGACAAGAAUUCAUUAAUAAGACGUGUAGCAUCGCCAACAAAGACUGUGUGGAGUAGAAGCCGAAAACAUAUUCGUUUUCAUCAUUCCAUUGUAAUGACGAUAGAUGUGCGGUACAUCAAACUCAAGAAACUUCUGGGCAGAACUUGA
This is a long non-coding RNA of Zea mays, 5858 nucleotides long. RefSeq lists it as uncharacterized. The record is from RefSeq and is a predicted model, not a curated record. The transcript has 2 exons. NCBI's taxonomy places the organism in Eukaryota, Viridiplantae, Streptophyta, Magnoliopsida, Poales, Poaceae.